This 155-nucleotide non-coding RNA is filed under the name Felis catus (domestic cat). Its description in RNAcentral is "Mnt IRES". It matches the Rfam family "Mnt IRES", at positions 1 to 155 of the family's 203-position model. Rfam says of the family: This family represents the Mnt internal ribosome entry site (IRES). The record is from Rfam by way of RNAcentral. Lineage: Eukaryota; Metazoa; Chordata; Mammalia; Carnivora; Felidae.
UUAUAUUUUGCAAAUAUUUUGGGAAACAUUAAUUUUUGUUUCCGUGCUCUCCCGUUCUUCCCUGCGGAGUGCGCUGCGCCGCCCAGCCCUGUCGCCCCCCGGAGGUGAUCCCUCCCUCCUGGGUGCCCGCCACCCUGACCUGUGCCCGGCUCGCG